This 474-nucleotide ribosomal RNA is filed under the name uncultured bacterium. Its description in RNAcentral is "partial 16S ribosomal RNA". It matches the Rfam family "Bacterial small subunit ribosomal RNA", at positions 28 to 507 of the family's 1533-position model. The record is from RNAcentral.
GACGAACGCUGGCGGCGUGCUUAACACAUGCAAGUCGAGCGGUAAGGCUCCUUCGGGAGUACACGAGCGGCGAACGGGUGAGUAACACGUGAGUAAUCUGCCCUUCACUUCGGGAUAACCACCGGAAACGGUGGCUAAUACCGAAUACGACCAGUCUUCGCAUGAGGUGCUGGUGGAAAGUCUUUUCGGUGAAGGAUGUGCUCGCGGCCUAUCAGCUUGUUGGUGGGGUAAUGGCCUACCAAGGCUUCGACGGGUAGCCGGCCUGAGAGGGUGACCGGCCACACUGGGACUGGGACACGGCCCAGACUCCUACGGGAGGCAGCAGUGGGGAAUAUUGGACAAUGGGCGAAAGCCUGAUCCAGCAACGCCGCGUGAGGGAUGACGGCCUUCGGGUUGUAAACCUCUUUCAGUACCGACGAAGCGCCCUGUCGGGUGGUGACGGUAGGUACAGAAGAAGGACCGGCCAACUACGUG